RNAcentral lists this ribosomal RNA (406 nucleotides) under uncultured bacterium. Its description in RNAcentral is "partial 16S ribosomal RNA". It matches the Rfam family "Bacterial small subunit ribosomal RNA", at positions 30 to 526 of the family's 1533-position model. The record is from RNAcentral.
AUUGAACGCUGGCGGCAGGCCUAACACAUGCAAGUCGAACGAGUGGCGGACGGGUGAGUAAUGUCUGGGAUUCUGCCUGAUGGAGGGGGAUAACUACUGGAAACGGUAGCUAAUACCGCAUCCCAUAGGAUGGGCCCAGAUGGGAUUAGCUAGUAGGUGGGGUAAAGGCUCACUUAGGCGACGAUCCCUAGCUGGUCUGAGAGGAGGACCAGACAAAGUGGAACUGAGAAACGGCCCAGACUCCUACGGAAGGCAGAAGUGGGGAAUAUUGCACAAUGGGCGAAAGCCGGAUGCAGCCAUGCCGCGUGUAUGAAGAAGGCCUUCGGGUUGUAAAGUACUUUCAGCGGGGAGGCGUUACCCGCAGAAGAAGCACCGGCUAACUCCGUGCCAGCAGCCGCGGUAAUAC